GACGAACGCUGGCGGCGUGCUUAACACAUGCAAGUCGAACGAUGAAACCUAGCUUGCUAGGUCGAUUAGUGGCGAACGGGUGAGUAACACGUGACUAACCUGCCCCUUUCUCUGGGAUAACGCUCCGAAAGGAGUGCUAAUACCGGAUACUCACAUCGAUGCACAUGCCUUGGUGUGGAAAGUUUUUCGGAAAGGGAUGGAGUCGCGGCCUAUCAGCUUGUGGGUGAGGUAACGGCUCACCAAGGCGACGACGGGUAGCCGGCCUGAGAGGGCGACCGGCCACACUGGGACUGAGACACGGCCCAGACUCCUACGGGAGGCAGCAGUGGGGAAUAUUGCACAAUGGGCGCAAGCCUGAUGCAGCGACGCCGCGUGAGGGAUGAAGGUCUUCGGAUUGUAAACCUCUUUCAGUAGGGACGAAGCGAAAGUGACGGUACCUAAAGAAGAAGCACCGGCUAACUACGUGCCAGCAGCCGCCGUAA
This 482-nucleotide ribosomal RNA is filed under the name uncultured bacterium. RNAcentral describes it as "partial 16S ribosomal RNA". It matches the Rfam family "Bacterial small subunit ribosomal RNA", at positions 28 to 523 of the family's 1533-position model. The record is from RNAcentral.